UACGUAGGGUGCAAGCGUUGUCCGGAAUUAUUGGGCGUAAAGAGCGUGUAGGCGGCCCGAUUAGUCCGCUGUGAAAGUCCAGGGCUCAACCCUGGAAUGCCGGUGGAUACUGUCGGGCUAGAGUCCGGAAGGGGCGAGUGGAAUUCCUGGUGUAGCGGUGAAAUGCGCAGAUAUCAGGAAGAACACCCGUGGCUAAGGCGGUUCUCUAGUACGGUACUGACGCUGAGACGCGAAAGCGUGGGGAGCGAACAGG
Molecule: ribosomal RNA, 253 nt
Filed under: uncultured bacterium
Lineage: Bacteria
Description: partial 16S ribosomal RNA
Rfam family: Bacterial small subunit ribosomal RNA
Source: RNAcentral